Molecule: ribosomal RNA, 410 nt
Filed under: uncultured Bacillus sp.
Lineage: Bacteria; Bacillati; Bacillota; Bacilli; Caryophanales; Bacillaceae
Description: bacterial SSU rRNA
Rfam family: Bacterial small subunit ribosomal RNA
Source: RNAcentral
UUGACGGUACCUAACCAGAAAGCCACGGCUAACUACGUGCCAGCAGCCUGCGGUAAUACGUAGGUGGCAAGCGUUGUCCGGAAUUAUUGUGCGUAAAGCGCGCGCAGGCGGUCCUUUAAGUCUGAUGUGAAAGCCCACGGCUCAACCGUGGAGGGUCAUUGGAAAUCUGGGGGACUUGAGUGCAGAAGAGGAAAGCGGAAUUCCACGUGUAGCGGUGAAAUGCGUAGAGAUGUGGAGGAACACCAGUGGCGAAGGCGGCUUUCUGGUCUGUAACUGACGNUGAGGCGCGAAAGCGUGGGGAGCAAACAGGAUUAGAUACCCUGGUAGUCCACUCCGUAAACGAUGAGUGCUAAGUNUUAGGGGGUUUCCGCCCCCUUAGUGGUGCAGCUCUACGCAUUAAGCACUCCUCC